This 256-nucleotide ribosomal RNA is filed under the name uncultured bacterium. RNAcentral describes it as "partial 16S ribosomal RNA". It matches the Rfam family "Bacterial small subunit ribosomal RNA", at positions 15 to 273 of the family's 1533-position model. The record is from RNAcentral.
GAUCCUGGCUCAGAUUGAACGCUGGCGGCAGGCUUAACACAUGCAAGUCGAGCGGGGGAAGGUUGCUUCGGUAACUGACCUAGCGGCGGACGGGUGAGUAAUGCUUAGGAAUCUGCCUAUUAGUGGGGGACAACGUUCCGAAGGAAUGCUAAUACCGCAUACGUCCUACGGGAGAAAGCAGGGGAUCUUCGGACCUUGCGCUAAUAGAUGAGCCUAAGUCGGAUUAGCUAGUUGGUGGGGUAAAGGCCUACCAAGG